RNAcentral lists this non-coding RNA (523 nucleotides) under Pan troglodytes (chimpanzee). Lineage: Eukaryota; Metazoa; Chordata; Mammalia; Primates; Hominidae. The record is from RNAcentral.
GGCCGCGGAGGACACGGGGACGGGAAAGUCUGAGAGACGGGGAGAGCCUGACCCGGCGGGACACAGGCAGAAAGAAACACGCGAGCCAGACAGACGCAGAAGAAACGUGCCUGGUACUGGAUAGGAACUUCAUGGAAUGGAGCUAAUGGGCCGUAGGGCAGGUUUGAGUCGUGCCACCCUGGAGCAGAAGGUGGAGGGUAGGGAUAAGAACUUCCGAGAAGUCACCACCAAUCAAGAGCUGAUUCACAAGAGCAGAGGGACUCAGUAAAGUUCCAGAACUGGCCUGAUAGCAGCCACUACAUGAUUAAGAAAAAAACAAGCAGCUUUGUUGUAAAAAAGAUCGGCUUCAUGGUUUUUAUAAUCAUGAAUUUCUCCUCCAUGUUCCAAUUGUCACCUGAUUUUUAAUCCAAGAAUAUCAAACUUGAUGUACCCCUUUGUUUAACUGAAGGUUGCUUUCUCACUUGGUAUCCCUUUCUUUCAAAAUUUAACUUUCAGGAAAUAAAGGUAACCAGUUUGCUAUGAA